Molecule: ribosomal RNA, 451 nt
Filed under: uncultured bacterium
Lineage: Bacteria
Description: partial 16S ribosomal RNA
Rfam family: Bacterial small subunit ribosomal RNA
Source: RNAcentral
GUGGGGAAUAUUGGACAAUGGGGGGAACCCUGAUCCAGCCAUGCCGCGUGUGUGAAGAAGGCCUUUUGGUUGUAAAGCACUUUAAGCGAGGAGGAGGCUACCGAGAUUAAUACUCUUGGAUAGUGGACGUUACUCGCAGAAUAAGCACCGGCUAACUCUGUGCCAGCAGCCGCGGUAAUACAGAGGGUGCAAGCGUUAAUCGGAUUUACUGGGCGUAAAGCGCGCGUAGGUGGCCAAUUAAGUCAAAUGUGAAAUCCCCGAGAUUAACGUGGGAAUUGCAUUCGAUACUGGUUGGCUAGAGUAUGGGAGAGGGUGGUAGAAUUCCAGGUGUAGCGGUGAAAUGCGUAGAGGUCUGGAGGAAUACCGAUGGCGAAGGCAGCCAUCUGGCCUAAUACUGACACUGAGGUGCGAAAGCAUGGGGAGCAAACAGGAUUAGAUACCCCUGUAGUCC